RNAcentral lists this ribosomal RNA (427 nucleotides) under uncultured Aliidiomarina sp. Its description in RNAcentral is "bacterial SSU rRNA". It matches the Rfam family "Bacterial small subunit ribosomal RNA", at positions 355 to 774 of the family's 1533-position model. The record is from RNAcentral. Lineage: Bacteria; Pseudomonadati; Pseudomonadota; Gammaproteobacteria; Alteromonadales; Idiomarinaceae.
UGGGGAAUAUUGGACAAUGGGCGCAAGCCUGAUCCAGCCAUGCCGCGUGUGUGAAGAAGGCCUUCGGGUUGUAAAGCACUUUCAGUGGUGAGGAAGGCGUUGUAGUUAAUAGCUGCAACGAUUGACGUUAGCCACAGAAGAAGCACCGGCUAACUCCGUGCCAGCAGCCGCGGUAAUACGGAGGGUGCGAGCGUUAAUCGGAAUUACUGGGCGUAAAGCGCACGUAGGCGGCUUGUUAAGCAAGAUGUGAAAGCCCAGGGCUCAACCUUGGAAUUGCAUUUUGAACUGGCAGGCUAGAGUUUUGAAGAGGGUGGUAGAAUUUCCAGUGUAGCGGUGAAAUGCGUAGAUAUUGGAAGGAAUACCAGUGGCGAAGGCGGCCACCUGGUCAAAAACUGACGCUGAGGAGCGAAAGCGUGGGGAGCAAACA